This 846-nucleotide ribosomal RNA is filed under the name Escherichia coli. RNAcentral's name for it is "partial 23S ribosomal RNA". It matches the Rfam family "Bacterial large subunit ribosomal RNA", at positions 901 to 1746 of the family's 2925-position model. The record is from RNAcentral. Lineage: Bacteria; Pseudomonadati; Pseudomonadota; Gammaproteobacteria; Enterobacterales; Enterobacteriaceae.
GGUAGAGCACUGUUUCGGCAAGGGGGUCAUCCCGACUUACCAACCCGAUGCAAACUGCGAAUACCGGAGAAUGUUAUCACGGGAGACACACGGCGGGUGCUAACGUCCGUCGUGAAGAGGGAAACAACCCAGACCGCCAGCUAAGGUCCCAAAGUCAUGGUUAAGUGGGAAACGAUGUGGGAAGGCCCAGACAGCCAGGAUGUUGGCUUAGAAGCAGCCAUCAUUUAAAGAAAGCGUAAUAGCUCACUGGUCGAGUCGGCCUGCGCGGAAGAUGUAACGGGGCUAAACCAUGCACCGAAGCUGCGGCAGCGACGCUUAUGCGUUGUUGGGUAGGGGAGCGUUCUGUAAGCCUGUGAAGGUGUGCUGUGAGGCAUGCUGGAGGUAUCAGAAGUGCGAAUGCUGACAUAAGUAACGAUAAAGCGGGUGAAAAGCCCGCUCGCCGGAAGACCAAGGGUUCCUGUCCAACGUUAAUCGGGGCAGGGUGAGUCGACCCCUAAGGCGAGGCCGAAAGGCGUAGUCGAUGGGAAACAGGUUAAUAUUCCUGUACUUGGUGUUACUGCGAAGGGGGGACGGAGAAGGCUAUGUUGGCCGGGCGACGGUUGUCCCGGUUUAAGCGUGUAGGCUGGUUUUCCAGGCAAAUCCGGAAAAUCAAGGCUGAGGCGUGAUGACGAGGCACUACGGUGCUGAAGCAACAAAUGCCCUGCUUCCAGGAAAAGCCUCUAAGCAUCAGGUAACAUCAAAUCGUACCCCAAACCGACACAGGUGGUCAGGUAGAGAAUACCAAGGCGCUUGAGAGAACUCGGGUGAAGGAACUAGGCAAAAUGGUGCCGUAACUUCGGGAGAAGG